GAUGAACGCUGGCGGCGUGCCUAAUACAUGCAAGUCGAGCGAACGGACGAGAAGCUUGCUUCUCUGAUGUUAGCGGCGGACGGGUGAGUAACACGUGGAUAACCUACCUAUAAGACUGGGAUAACUUCGGGAAACCGUAGCUAAUACCGGAUAAUAUUUUGAACCGCAUGGUUCAAAAGUGAAAGACGGUCUUGCUGUCACUUAUAGAUGGAUCCGCGCUGCAUUAGCUAGUUGGUAAGGUAACGGCUUACCAAGGCAACGAUGCAUAGCCGACCUGAGAGGGUGAUCGGCCACACUGGAACUGAGACACGGUCCAGACGCCUACGGGAGGCAGCAGUAGGGAAUCUUCCGCAAUGGGCGAAAGCCUGACGGAGCAACGCCGCGUGAGUGAUGAAGGUCUUCGGAUCGUAAAACUCUGUUAUUAGGGAAGAACAUAUGUGUAAGUAACUGUGCACAUCUUGACGGUACCUAAUCAGAAAGCCACGGCUAACUACGUG
RNAcentral lists this ribosomal RNA (497 nucleotides) under uncultured bacterium. RNAcentral describes it as "partial 16S ribosomal RNA". It matches the Rfam family "Bacterial small subunit ribosomal RNA", at positions 28 to 507 of the family's 1533-position model. The record is from RNAcentral.